RNAcentral lists this unclassified non-coding RNA (172 nucleotides) under uncultured Sarea. RNAcentral describes it as "sequence contains ITS1". The record is from RNAcentral. Lineage: Eukaryota; Fungi; Ascomycota; Lecanoromycetes; Pertusariales; Pertusariaceae.
CCGAGUUAGGGUCCUCUGGGCCCGAACCUCCAACCCUUUGAAUACCUACCUCAUGUUGCUUUGGCGGGCCGUUGGGCCUGGCUCACCGUCGGCUUCGGCUGGCGCGCGCCCGCCGGAGGCCAACCAAAAACUCUUGUUUAUCGAUGUCGUCUGAGUACUAUGCAAAUAGUUA